Molecule: unclassified non-coding RNA, 345 nt
Filed under: soil metagenome
Description: partial contains 5.8S ribosomal RNA, internal transcribed spacer 2, and large subunit ribosomal RNA
Rfam family: 5.8S ribosomal RNA (bases 1-121)
Source: RNAcentral
GAUGAAGAACGUAGCGAAAUGCGAUAAGUAAUGCGAAUUGCAGAAUUUCCGUGAGUCAUCGAAUCUUUGAACGCACAUUGCGCCCACUGGUAUUCCGGUGGGCAUGCCUGUUCGAGCGUCAUUAUCCUCCCUCAAACCCCGGGUUUGGUGUUGGACCCAAGUUGUGUGAACAACUGGUCUCAAAGACAAUGACGGCGUCCGUGGGACCCUCGGUGCAACGAGCUUUUAGGAGCACGCAUCGAGUUGCAAGGACCUUCCGGGCCGGUCUCCUUUACCUUUUUACAAGGUUGACCUCGGAUCAGGUAGGAAUACCCGCUGAACUUAAGCAUAUCAAUAAGCGGAGGA